AUGGAUGUCACUUAUGCAGUGCUUUAUAUUGAUUUGAUUAUUGGACUUACUGAGAUUUGUUUUGAACGGGUCAUCAUGAGUAUAGGUUGAAAUGGGCCAAGUCUGACUUUCAACUUUUCAAUUAUUUCCAAUUAAUCCCUUGGUCAGUUCGCAAAUCCUGGCAUGUUCGUUAACCGUUUUAUGUUGGUGUUAUAAUAAUAAAAUAUGGGUGAUUCUAUACACACACCCCUGUAAUCUUAUUUCGCAAGAUGGCGGUUCCGGAGCCUGCUUAAGCGUUGCAGAAUCUGCCGGUGUCGCCGCUUCGGCAGGCGAAGAAAAGUCGACGUGGACUGAGGUCUCGAAGCUCACAGUAUCGCGGUGUGACGUUUUAUCGGCGUACUGGUCGUUGGGAAUCACAUAUCUGAUACAAAGGUACAUAUCAUACUUAAGAAGUGGCUAUAAAGAUACUAAAG
RNAcentral lists this long non-coding RNA (452 nucleotides) under Helianthus annuus (common sunflower). RNAcentral describes it as "hypothetical non coding rna". The record is from RNAcentral. Lineage: Eukaryota; Viridiplantae; Streptophyta; Magnoliopsida; Asterales; Asteraceae.